GCCGUUGAGGUGUAACGGUUUUGCAUAUCGGCUUGUCACGCCGAGGGUAGCGGGUUCGACUCCCGUCAAUGGCG
Molecule: transfer RNA, 74 nt
Filed under: Candidatus Eiseniibacteriota bacterium
Lineage: Bacteria; Candidatus Eiseniibacteriota
Description: tRNA-Asp
Rfam family: tRNA
About the family: Transfer RNA (tRNA) molecules are approximately 80 nucleotides in length. Their secondary structure includes four short double-helical elements and three loops (D, anti-codon, and T loops).
Source: RNAcentral